AGAGUUUGAUGGUGGCUCAGGAUGAACGCUAGCGGCAGGCCUAAUACAUGCAAGUCGAGGGGUAACAUGAGUACUUGUACUUGAUGACGACCGGCGCACGGGUGCGUAACGCGUAUGCAACCUACCCACAACUGGGGGAUAGCCCGGAGAAAUCCGGAUUAAUACCCCAUAAUGCAGGGGUGCAGCAUUGUACUAUUUGCUAAAGAUUUAUUGGUUGUGGAUGGGCAUGCGUCUGAUUAGAUAGUUGGUGAGGUAACGGCUCACCAAGUCGACGAUCAGUAGGGGGUCUGAGAGGAUGAUCCCCCACACUGGCACUGAGAUACGGGCCAGACUCCUACGGGAGGCAGCAGUAGGGAAUAUUGGUCAAUGGGCGAGAGCCUGAACCAGCCAUGCCGCGUGAAGGAUGAAGGCCUUCUGGGUUGUAAACUUCUUUUAUACAGGAAGAAAAAGGUCAUGCGUGACCAAUUGACGGUACUGUAUGAAUAAGCACCGGCUAACUCCGUGCCAGCAGCCGCGGUAAUACGGAGGGUGCAAGCGUUGUCCGGAUUUAUUGGGUUUAAAGGGUGCGCAGGCGGUGCGUUAAGUCAGUGGUGAAAUCCCGCAGCUCAACUGUGGAACUGCCAUUGAUACUGGCGCACUUGAGUACGGACGAGGUAGGCGGAAUUUAUGGUGUAGCGGUGAAAUGCAUAGAUACCAUAAAGAACACCGAUAGCGAAGGCAGCUUACUAGACCGUAACUGACGCUCAUGCACGAAAGCGUGGGGGAGCGAACAGGAUUAGAUACCCUGGUAGUCCACGCCGUAAACGAUGAUCACUCGAUGUGUGCGAUACAAUGUACGCGUCCAAAGCGAAAGCGUUAAGUGAUCCACCUGGGGGAGUACGUUGGCAACAAUGAAAACUCAAAA
RNAcentral lists this ribosomal RNA (904 nucleotides) under uncultured bacterium. RNAcentral's name for it is "bacterial SSU rRNA". It matches the Rfam family "Bacterial small subunit ribosomal RNA", at positions 8 to 906 of the family's 1533-position model. The record is from RNAcentral.